This 498-nucleotide ribosomal RNA is filed under the name uncultured bacterium. RNAcentral's name for it is "bacterial SSU rRNA". It matches the Rfam family "Bacterial small subunit ribosomal RNA", at positions 29 to 520 of the family's 1533-position model. The record is from RNAcentral.
AAUGAACGCUGGCGGAAUGCUUUACACAUGCAAGUCGAGCGGCAGCGCGGGGGCAACCCUGGCGGCGAGCGGCGAACGGGUGAGUAAUGCAUCGGAACGUACCCAGUCGUGGGGGAUAACGUGGCGAAAGUCACGCUAAUACCGCAUACGUCCUGAGGGAGAAAGCAGGGGAUCGCAAGACCUUGCGCGAUUGGAGCGGCCGAUGUCUGAUUAGCUAGUUGGUGGGGUAAAGGCCUACCAAGGCGACGAUCAGUAGCUGGUCUGAGAGGACGACCAGCCACACUGGGACUGAGACACGGCCCAGACUCCUACGGGAGGCAGCAGUGGGGAAUAUUGGACAAUGGGGGCAACCCUGAUCCAGCGACGCCGCGUGUGUGAAGAAGGCCUGCGGGUUGUAAAGCACUUUUAGUGGGGAGGAAGGUCUGCGACCUAACACGUCGUGGAAUUGACUUAACCCACAGAAAAAGCACCGGCUAACUCUGUGCCAGCAGCCGACGG